RNAcentral lists this ribosomal RNA (259 nucleotides) under uncultured archaeon. RNAcentral's name for it is "partial 16S ribosomal RNA". It matches the Rfam family "Archaeal small subunit ribosomal RNA", at positions 748 to 1009 of the family's 1478-position model. The record is from RNAcentral.
UAGCCGUAAACGAUACUCGCUAGGUGUCGGCCACGGUGCGACCGUUGUCGGUGCCGUAGGGAAGCCGUGAAGCGAGCCACCUGGGAAGUACGGCCGCAAGGCUGAAACUUAAGGAUUGGCGGGGGAGCACCACAACGGGUGGAGCCUGCGGUUUAAUUGGACUCAACGCCGGGAAGCUCACCGGAUAAGACAGCGGAAUGAUUGCCGGGCUGAAGACUCUGCAUGACUAGCUGAGAGGUGGUGCAUGGCGUAGACGUCU